CACAUGCAAGUCGAGGGAGAGGUUACCUUCGGGUAACUGAAACCGGCGCACGGGUGCGUAACGCGUAUACAAUCUGCCUUUCACAUAGGGAUAGCCCGAAGAAAUUUGGACUAAUACCUAAUGGUAUAUAAGAGCGGCAUCGUUUUUAUAUUAAAGCUACGGUGGUGAAAGAUGAGUAUGCGUUCUAUUAGCUAGUUGGAGAGGUAACGGCUCCCCAAGGCGACGAUAGAUAGGGGUUCUGAGAGGGAUGUCCCCCACACUGGUACUGAGAUACGGACCAGACUCCUACGGGAGGCAGCAGUGAGGAAUAUUGGACAAUGGUCGGAAGACUGAUCCAGCCAUGCCGCGUGCAGGAUGAAGGUCCUAUGGAUUGUAAACUGCUUUUGUAAGGGAAGAAUAAGGGGUACGUGUACUUUGAUGACGGUACCUUACGAAUAAGCAUCGGCUAACUCCGUGCCAGCAGCCGCGGUAAUACGGAGGAUGCGAGCGUUAUCCGGAAUCAUUGGGUUUAAAGGGUCCGUAGGCGGGCUGAUAAGUCAGAGGUGAAAGCGCUUAGCUCAACUAAGCAACUGCCUUUGAAACUGUCAGUCUUGAAUGAUUGUGAAGUAGUUGGAAUGUGUAGUGUAGCGGUGAAAUGCUUAGAUAUUACACAGAACACCGAUAGCGAAGGCAUAUUACUAACAAUUUAUUGACGCUGAUGGACGAAAGCGUGGGGAGCGAACAGGAUUAGAUACCCUGGUAGUCCACGCUGUAAACGAUGGAUACUAGCUGUUUGGAGCAAUCUGAGUGGCUAAGCGAAAGUGAUAAGUAUCCCACCUGGGGAGU
This 825-nucleotide ribosomal RNA is filed under the name uncultured Bacteroidota bacterium. RNAcentral's name for it is "bacterial SSU rRNA". It matches the Rfam family "Bacterial small subunit ribosomal RNA", at positions 52 to 881 of the family's 1533-position model. The record is from RNAcentral. Lineage: Bacteria; Pseudomonadati; Bacteroidota.